This 71-nucleotide transfer RNA is filed under the name Chaetops frenatus (Rufous rock-jumper). RNAcentral describes it as "tRNA-Gln". It matches the Rfam family "tRNA". Rfam says of the family: Transfer RNA (tRNA) molecules are approximately 80 nucleotides in length. Their secondary structure includes four short double-helical elements and three loops (D, anti-codon, and T loops). Further hydrogen bonds mediate the characteristic L-shaped molecular structure. tRNAs have two regions of fundamental functional importance: the anti-codon, which is responsible for specific mRNA codon recognition, and the 3' end, to which the tRNAs corresponding amino acid is attached (by aminoacyl-tRNA synthetases). tRNAs cope with the degeneracy of the genetic code in two manners: having more than one tRNA (with a specific anti-codon) for a particular amino acid; and 'wobble' base-pairing, i.e. permitting non-standard base-pairing at the 3rd anti-codon position. Lineage: Eukaryota; Metazoa; Chordata; Aves; Passeriformes; Picathartidae. The record is from RNAcentral.
UAGAAAAUAAUAUAAGGGAAGUAUGAAGGGGUUUGAUUCCUUUAGUGCAGGUUCGAGUCCUGUUUUUCUAA